Molecule: small RNA, 30 nt
Filed under: Bombyx mori (domestic silkworm)
Lineage: Eukaryota; Metazoa; Arthropoda; Insecta; Lepidoptera; Bombycidae
Description: ovarian small RNA-30949
Source: RNAcentral
UGAAGGAGUGUCCUUCACCACAAAUUGAGC